AUGGACGGUGAGCGGCACCUAUUCCGCGCAGUCCUGUUACACGGCCACCUUCCAUGGAUCAACGGGAUGCCACUCCUGGAAGCUAAUCUGGAAGUGUUGGGCGCCGCCGCGAGUCAAGUUCUUCCACUGGUUAGCCAACCAGGACCGCUGCUGGACGGCAGAGAGGCAGGCUCGCCACGGUCUUCAACAUCAUCCCCGCUGCCUCCUAUGUGCCAGCAGCCGGAGACUAUGCGACAUCUGCUGCUGGAAUGCCCCCUAGCCCGUCAGGCAUGGCACGAGACCCUGGCCUGGCUACGCAUACCGGCCCCGAUCCCAACACAGGAACUGUCGCUUACGGACUGGUGGAACCAUGCCAAGGAAGACACGCCGCCGAUCCUUCGCAAGGCCCUGAAAUCUGUCUCGCUGCUAGUGCCUUGGAUGGUCUGGAAACACAGGAACAGCUGCGUCUUCGACAAUGCGACGCCAUCCCUUAACACGCUCCUAGAUAGCAUUCAGGACGAGGCCCCGCUCAUGGGCGGCAGCCGGGGCACCUGGCCUCCGACUUGUGCUGCCCCAAACCUGGGAUGUACAUUAAUUCACCUGCUGUAA
Molecule: ribosomal RNA, 588 nt
Filed under: Triticum aestivum (bread wheat)
Lineage: Eukaryota; Viridiplantae; Streptophyta; Magnoliopsida; Poales; Poaceae
Description: partial small subunit ribosomal RNA
Source: RNAcentral